UGGGGAAUUUUGGACAAUGGGGGCAACCCUGAUCCAGCAAUGCCGCGUGUGUGAAGAAGGCCUUCGGGUUGUAAAGCACUUUUGUCCGGAAAGAAAACGUCGUGGUUAAUACCCGUGGCGGCUGACGGUACCGGAAGAAUAAGCACCGGCUAACUACGUGCCAGCAGCCGCGGUAAUACGUAGGGUGCAAGCGUUAAUCGGAAUUACUGGGCGUAAAGCGUGCGCAGGCGGUCCGCUAAGACAGAUGUGAAAUCCCCGGGCUUAACCUGGGAACUGCAUUUGUGACUGGCGGGCUAGAGUAUGGCAGAGGGGGGUAGAAUUCCACGUGUAGCAGUGAAAUGCGUAGAGAUGUGGAGGAAUACCGAUGGCGAAGGCAGCCCCCUGGGCCAAUACUGACGCUCAUGCACGAAAGCGUGGGGAGCAAACAGGAUUAGAUACCCUGGUAGUCCACGCCCUAAACGAUGUCAACUAGUUGUCGGGUCUUCAUUGACUUGGUAACGUAGCUAACGCGUGAAGUUGACCGCCUGGGGAGUACGGUCGCAAGAUUAAAAGCUCAAAUGAAUUGAC
RNAcentral lists this ribosomal RNA (567 nucleotides) under uncultured bacterium. RNAcentral describes it as "partial 16S ribosomal RNA". It matches the Rfam family "Bacterial small subunit ribosomal RNA", at positions 355 to 914 of the family's 1533-position model. The record is from RNAcentral.